UACGUAGGGCGCAAGCGUUGUCCGGAAUUAUUGGGCGUAAAGAGCUCGUAGGCGGUCUGUCACGUCGGAUGUGAAAGCCCGGGGCUUAACCCCGGGUCUGCAUUCGAUACGGGCAGACUAGAGUGUGGUAGGGGAGAUCGGAAUUCCUGGUGUAGCGGUGAAAUGCGCAGAUAUCAGGAGGAACACCGGUGGCGAAGGCGGGUCUCUGGGCCGUAACUGACGCUGAGGAGCGAAAGCAUGGGGAGCGAACAGG
RNAcentral lists this ribosomal RNA (253 nucleotides) under uncultured bacterium. Its description in RNAcentral is "partial 16S ribosomal RNA". It matches the Rfam family "Bacterial small subunit ribosomal RNA", at positions 524 to 776 of the family's 1533-position model. The record is from RNAcentral.